GAAUGUGUUGCAAAACUGAAUGUGAGGCAGCUGGUCUCUGUCAGUAUGGAUGGUCCCAAUGUGAAUUUGAAGUUGGGAGACCUUCUUCAGAACGACCAUGCAGAGCUGUAUGGAGCUCAACUGGUGAAAAUUGGAAGCUGUGGGCUUCACACCCUGCACAAUGCGGUGAAGGCAGGCUUCACUAUGUGGCAGCUGGACAAGCUCCUUCGGGCUCUCCACUUCCUCUUCCACAAUGUUCCAGCUAGGAGGGAGGACUUCACUUCCUUGACUGGGUCCACCACCUUUCCGUUGCCAUUCUGUGGCCACAGAUGGGUUGAAAAUCUCCCUGUAGCAGAGAGGGCAACUCAUGUAUGGCCAAUGAUUUUGAAGUGUGUGGAUGCUGUGAAGCAAAAGAAGCUCCCCAACCCAGGCACUGCCUCCUAUGACACCAUUGAGACAGCACAGGCUGAUCCCCUCAUCGGUGGCAAAUUGCAGUUCUUUCUAGCCAUAACCAGGACGUUCAACCCCUUCCUGACAAAGUAUCAAACUGAUGAACCAGUUUUGCCCUUCUUGGCCAAAGAUUUGAGUGAGCUGAUAAAGGGUCUACUGAGGCGAUUUGUGAAGAGGGAGCUCCUGCAGGACCUCACCAGUAGAGGUGACUGAUGAGGCAAACUGGGUCUCUGUCACAAAUGUUGAUAUUGGCCUGGGUGCCGGAUCUGUCAUAAAGCCACUGCAGCAGCGGGUUGAUGUGUUCCUGCACUCAGCUCUCAAGUCUUACCCCGAAGUGUCAAAAUUCUGUCAAGUCCUUCUGCUCCUGUCACAUGGACAAGCCACAGUGGAGAGAGGAUUCUCAAUCAACAAGCAAGUUGAAACUUGCAACAUACUUGAAGAGUCGAUGGAGGCUCUAAGGUUAAUAUGCGACAAGGUCAGUGUUUGUGGGGGUGUUUUAAAUGUUCCUCUGACCAAGGAGCUCCUGGCUUCAGUAGCUUCCGCCAGGUCAAGAUACAGAAUACACCUUGAGCAUCAACGUCUUAAAAAAGAAAAUGCCACACAGUCACUGAAAAGAAAAGCAGCUGAAGAUGAAGUCGAAGAGCUGAAGAAAAAGGUCAAAAUCCUGCAUGAAGUGUGCAACACACUUCAAAUUGAUGCAGACCAUCUUGCUGAGCAGGCCGAAGGAAAAUCUGGGUCAUUAAUGGCCCAACUUACCACCAAGUCCAACACCUUGCGGCGAAGGCACAAAGAAAAGCUCAGAGAGCUGAUGGACGCAGAGAAGCUGAUGGAAAGCAAAUCACACAAUCUCAGGCACAUGUUCUAAAUUGUGAUCAUGAUGUAAUAAGUUAAAGUUGGCCUUUAAUAACUGGUGUAACUUGUUGAUAGGCCUAAGCCAAACUGCAGUUUGCAAGUUAUUGAAGUCUUUGUAAUCUGCAUUAUGUCAUCCAUUUCAAUGUUUCUUCUUAAUUUCAUGUUUGUGAUUGUGCACAGAUUAGAUGUGCUUUCAAAAUGCUACACAAAAACAUGUAACUUGUCGUGACCUGAGAGGAAUGUCAAUAAACUUGCCUUUAGUGUAAUUUAUUCUUUUCAAGCUUUA
Long non-coding RNA from Acanthochromis polyacanthus (spiny chromis), 1567 nucleotides. RefSeq lists it as uncharacterized. The record is from RefSeq and is a predicted model, not a curated record. The transcript is spliced from 4 exons. Lineage: Eukaryota; Metazoa; Chordata; Actinopteri; Pomacentridae.